ACGGGUGAGUAAUACCUAGGAAUCUGCCUGAUAGUGGGGGAUAACGUUCGGAAACGGACGCUAAUACCGCAUACGUCCUACGGGAGAAAGCAGGGGACCUUCGGGCCUUGCGCUAUCAGAUGAGCCUAGGUCGGAUUAGCUAGUUGGUGAGGUAAUGGCUCACCAAGGCUACGAUCCGUAACUGGUCUGAGAGGAUGAUCAGUCACACUGGAACUGAGACACGGUCCAGACUCCUACGGGAGGCAGCAGUGGGGAAUAUUGGACAAUGGGCGAAAGCCUGAUCCAGCCAUGCCGCGUGUGUGAAGAAGGUCUUCGGAUUGUAAAGCACUUUAAGUUGGGAGGAAGGGUAUUAACCUAAUACGUUAGUACUUUGACGUUACCGACAGAAUAAGCACCGGCUAACUCUGUGCCAGCAGCCGCGGUAAUACAGAGGGUGCAAGCGUUAAUCGGAAUUACUGGGCGUAAAGCGCGCGUAGGUGGUUUGUUAAGUUGAAUGUGAAAUCCCCGGGCUCAACCUGGGAACUGCAUCCAAAACUGGCAAGCUAGAGUAUGGUAGAGGGUAGUGGAAUUUCCUGUGUAGCGGUG
RNAcentral lists this ribosomal RNA (585 nucleotides) under uncultured Pseudomonas sp. RNAcentral describes it as "bacterial SSU rRNA". It matches the Rfam family "Bacterial small subunit ribosomal RNA", at positions 102 to 683 of the family's 1533-position model. Lineage: Bacteria; Pseudomonadati; Pseudomonadota; Gammaproteobacteria; Pseudomonadales; Pseudomonadaceae. The record is from RNAcentral.